CAGAUGUCGCUGAAGUACAAAUCCCAUCAUCCCUAGCCACUGGCCAUGCUUGCUGGGGCUGAUGGGAGUUGUAGUUCAGCAACAUCUG
Non-coding RNA from Podarcis lilfordi (Lilford's wall lizard), 88 nucleotides. Lineage: Eukaryota; Metazoa; Chordata; Lepidosauria; Squamata; Lacertidae. The record is from the annotation of a GenBank genome assembly.